Oncorhynchus keta (chum salmon) is the source of this 5628-nucleotide long non-coding RNA. RefSeq lists it as uncharacterized. Lineage: Eukaryota; Metazoa; Chordata; Actinopteri; Salmoniformes; Salmonidae. The record is from RefSeq and is a predicted model, not a curated record. The transcript is spliced from 3 exons.
AAAGCAUAGCAGUGUGAACAGACAACACAGAGUUACACAUGGAGUAAACAAUUAACAAGUCAAUAACACAGUAGAAGAAAAGGGGAGUCUAUAUACAUUGUGUGCAAAAGGCAUGAGGAGGUAGGCGAAUAAUUACAAUUUUGCAGAUUAACACUGAAGUGAUAAAUGAUCAGAUGGUCAUGUACAGGUAUUGGUGUGCAAAAGAGCAGAAAAGUAAAUAAAUAAAAACAGUAUGGAGGUGAGGUAGGUAAAAAUGGGUGGGCUAUUUACCGAUAGACUAUGUACAGCUGCAGCGUACGGUUAGCUGCUCAGAUAGCAGAUGUUUGAAGUUGGUGAGGGAGAUAAAAGUCUCCAACUUCAGCGAUUUUUGCAAUUCGUUCCAGUCACAGGCAGCAGAGAACUGGAACGAAAGGCGGCCAAAUGAGAUGUUGGCUUUAGGGAUGAUCAGUGAGAUACACCUGCUGGAGCUCGUGCUACGAAUGGGUGUUGCCAUCGUGACCAGUGAACUGAGAUAAGGCGGAGCUUUACCUAGCAUGGACUUGUAGAUGACCUGGAGCCAGUGGGUCUGGCGACGAAUAUGUAGCGAGGGCCAGCCGACUAGAGCAUACAGGUCGCAGUGGUGGGUGGUAUAAGGUGCUUUAGUGACAAAAUGGAUGGCACUGUGAUAAACUGCAUCCAGUUUGCUGAGUAGAGUGUUGGAAGCAAUUUUGUAGAUGACAUUGCCGAAGUCGAGGAUCGGUAGGAUAGUCAGUUUUACUAGGGUAAGUUUGGCGGCGUGAGUGAAGGAGGCUUUGUUGCGAAAUAGAAAGCCGACUCUAGAUUUGAUUUUCGAUCUGAGAUGUUUGAUAUGAGUCUGGAAGGAGAGUUUACAGUCUAGCCAGACACCUAGGUACUUAUAGAUGUCCACAUAUUCAAGGUCGGAACCAUCCAGGGUGGUGAUGCUGGUCAGGCAGCGAACGGUUGAAAAGCAUGCAUUUGGUUUUACUAGCGUUUAAGAGCAGUUGGAGGCCACGGAAGGAGUGUUGUAUGGCAUUGAAGCUCGUUUGGAGGUUAGAUAGCACAGUGCCCAAGGACGGGCCGGAAGUAUAUAGAAUGGUGUCGUCUGUAGAGGUGGAUCAGGGAAUCGCCCGCAACAAGAGCAACAUCAUUGAUAUAUACAGAGAAAAGAGUCGGCCCGAGGAUUGAACCCUGUGGCACCCCCAUAGAGACUGCCAAAUAAAUGUGGGCAGGAUGAGCAUUAAGCUUAUGUUGGCAGAGAUGCAUAGUCCAGGUGUUAUCUAUCUGGGAAUGUCAGUUUUCACGUGACUCCAAACAGGACGGUCAGAAACUACAAUAUUUAUGCUUUUAGUUCCAUAUAGCAUGCAUCAGAUCUGGGCCCGUAUUCACAAAGCAUCUCAGAGUAGGAGUGCUGAUCUAGGAUCAGCUUUGCCUUUUAGAUCACAAUGAAUAAGAUUACAUGGACAGGGGGGACCUGAACUUAAAUCAGCGCUCCUACUCUGAGACGGGACCUGAUUCCUGUACUGUAGCUUGUGGUAUGCAUACUGUGUGUGUACGAGCCCAUGUGUGUGGCCCUGUUGGGAUUGUAUAUUUGAAUAUCUAUGGCUCAAGUUUUCAAACGCAGCAUACUGUUACACUUUCUGUAUUUUGACUGUUCUACAUCUUGAAUACUUGAUCACUGACAAAACAUUUUGGGACUGUAUCAAAAGUGAAGUAAUGAAAUGGAAUUUUCCUUUACCCUUGCAGGUGUCCUCGUUAAAACAACAUAACUUUCACGUGUGAACGAUUGCUAUUGAGGAUUUAUACUGUCAGUGACUAUUUAGCGUAAUUGUGCUUCUUUGGUUCUUCAAACAAAUAAGGCUCAUUGCAGUAUCAUGGUGUCAUGGUGCUAAUUUACUAUGCAUUUCUUCUGUUCGGCCGGCAGUUCUACUGCUCAUAUCCUGGGGUCAGUGCAGCCCCUCUUCUCCCUUCCCUUUAAACCCUGACCCCUGACUCAUGGAGAAGUCAGAAACCCACUCAGUACCAAUCAAAGGACAGGCUGACUUGCUUUAUAUGACUUUCACAGACAGAAAGUCAGUGUAUUGUAUUUUUUUUAAUGAUCAAAUCCAAUACCAUCUGUAGUAGACUACCAGGGUGAUGAGUUAGCAUCAGAUGAGCACUCAUACAGAUAAUAUCAAUGAUAUUCCUCUGCUGAUGACACCCAGCUAUAUGUGAAAACCAGUGGAGGCUCCUCAGAGAAGGAAGGGGAGGACCAUCCCCCUCUGUGAUUUAUAUGUGAUAAAUAUUUUUUAAAGUUAUCCUUUUUAGAUAAAUCUAUACCAACUAUACGUAUUCACAUCACCAAAUACAGCGCAUUCGGAAAGUAUUCAGACCCGUUCCCUUUUUCAACAUUCUGUUAUGUUACAGGUUUAUUAUCAAAUCUACACUACACAAAAUACGCCAUAAGGACAAAGCGAAAACACGUUUUUAUAAAUGUUUGAAAAUGUAUAAAAAUCCAAAUCAGAAAUACCUUAUUUACAUUAGUAUUUAAACCCUUUGCUAUGAGACUCAAAAUUGAGCUCAGGUGCAUCCUGUUUCCAUUGAUCAUCCUUGAGAUGUUUCUACAACUGGAUUGGAGACCACCUGUGUUAAAUUACAUUUAUUGGGCAUGAUUUGGAAAGGCACACACCUGUCUAUAUAAGGUCCCACAGUUGACAGUGCAUGUCAGAGCAAAAGCAAAGCCAUGAGGUCAAAUAAAUUGUCCGUAGAGCACCGAGACAGGAUUGUGUCGAGGCACAGAUCUGGGAAAGGGUAACAAAACAUUUCUGCAGCAUUGAAGGUCCCCAAGAACACAGUGGCCUCCAUCAUUCUUAAAUGGGAGAAGUUUGGACCACCAAGUCUCUUCCUAGAGCUGGCCUCCCGGCUAAACUGAGCAAUCGGGGAAGAAGGGUCUUGGUCAGGGCCAUAGCACUCCACCAAUCAGGCCUUUAUGGUAGAUUGGCCAGACGGAAGCCACUCCUCAGUAAAAGGCACAUGACAGCCCGCUGACGUUUUGAACACUGAAGUCCACAAGCGAAGGGAAAAGGUGAGAGGAGGAGAGCAUAUGGAUGCGAGAAGGAAUUAUACAACGAUCAAGGGAUCAUGCUGUUUCUAUGUGGCUUCUAUGAAAGUGAACUGUGUUUGCAUGUGAUCAGGGCUGUAUUCAUCCCUCCGAUUCUGUUGAAAAACGUUUCUUAAACGGAAGCAAACAGAACAAAACGGGGAUAAACAUAACCUGAAUUUGUCCAAAAGAAACUCAUUUGAAACUGUUGGACUAAUGAUUACACCCUAGAUCAGCUAGAUGCAGGCAAAAGUGUGCAAGGCGGUAUUGAAUGUGCCAAAGUCUGUCACCUUGACUACAAAAUGUAUCUCGACCUGUGCACCUACGUUGAAAAACUUUCAUUCAUAGGCUAGGUUGUAGCAACCUCACGAAGGGUAUAGGGAAAACUAGAGUAUCAUGUAGUAGCCUAAACUUAUCGAUGUUACAUUGAGCUGGAUGAAUGUAAUAUAAAUGACAGUCACCCAAUAUGCUGUAAUAGAAAUAAGGCCAUGCCCAUAAUAUUUUUAUUUUUUUAAAUGUGUAUCGUCCUCCCUCAUCUUAAACAACCCUGAUCGCCACUGGUUAAAACUGCCCCAAGUCUCUCUGCUGCCUGUGCUCGUCGAAACAUCUGCCUUAAGGAGAUAAGAGCUUGGAUGAAGAAAAACUCCCUUCAACUUAAUAGCCGCAAAACCGAGGCUCUACCCCUCACAGGUCCAUUGUAUCAUUUCAAAUCCAAAGUGCUGGAGUACAGAGCCAAAACAACAAAAUAUGUGCCCCAAUAAUUGUGACGCUCACUGUAGACGUGUUCCUUGUUGUGUUUGUAGCGUCAGCUCUGCUUUUUGAUGUUUGUCCCUUUGUUCUUUGUUUCAGGUACCCUGUCUACUUGUUCUUUGUUUCAGGUACCCUGUCUACUUGUUCUUUGUUUCAGGUACCCUGUCUACUUGUUCUUUGUUUCAGGUACCCUGUCUACUUGUUCUUUGUUUCAGGUACCCUGUCUACUUGUUCUUUGUUUCAGGUACCCUGUCUACUUGUUCUUUGUUUCAGGUACCCUGUCUACUUGUUCUUUGUUUCAGGUACCCUGUCUACUUGUUCUUUGUUUCAGGUACCCUGUCUACUUGUUCUUUGUUUCAGGUACCCUGUCUACUUGUUCUUUGUUUCAGGUACCCUGUCUACUUGUUCUUUGUUUCAGGUACCCUGUCUACUUGUGCCCUUGUUUUGUGGUUUUUUAUUUGAUUUAUUUUAACACACUCACUGUGCAUUAUACAUUCAGGGUAUUAUUAUUAUGGAGUGGCUGAGGAUCCAACUUUUCUCAGACCUUUUUUUCCGAACGUUAAAGGUCCCGAAGCUCCUGCGCAUGUGUUAACUCUCUCCUUAUGUGCUCUCCGUGCUCUACUUUUAGAGAACUAUUGUGAAUGUUGCUCGUUUAAUAAAGAUAGAUGAAAGAUGAAUCAAUGUCUGCAAGAUCCCAUGAGGAUAGUACAAUACAUAAAAUAAAAUAAUAUAAUAGCAUUGCGUUACUGUAAGACAACAAACACCACCACAUUUUCCUCUCAUGUGGCUAAAACUCAACAGGUCAUUCCGCUAGGCAAAAUAAAAAGGUCGGCUCUGUAGGCUACUACGAAACCACACUGUAUAGUAUAACUAAAGAAGAUCUAAGCGCAUAUCCCAAUGAAACUGAUUUGAGAUCAAAUGGUUGGUAUGCAGACGCUGCAUGGACGUUUCACCAGUAAAACGCUGCCAGUCGUGAAUUAUCAUUCACACCUGGCAGCGAGAAAUGUGAAGGGAAGGAGACCAGAAUAAUAUGUGCAUAACGUAGAGGUAAAGAAACACAUGCACUCAGGAAAAAAAGGUCAGGGAAAAGUCAGCUCCGCAGCCACAGCCUUAUUUACUAUUAGUAGUAGCAGUUGGAUUAGAAUUAUUUGAAAGGAAUCACAGACACACUGCCAUCUUGUUCCUGGCUUUAAACUAACCUACUGUAGUGGACAAAGGCUGUUGGGUUUAUAGAGGAGCAGACAGGAUCACUAUGUUGACGUUCUGCUAAAAGUCCCAGAAUCCCCUGAGGAUGUCCUGUGAUGACAUCAUGAGAGUUCCACCGGAGCCAGUCUGACCGGGGGUCUUAUCAGUCCAGGAGGGGAGACCAGUACACAUUUGCCUCUACGGUCAGCCAGGGGGUCAUUGACACAUACCUGCUGUCAGUGGAUACAGAGGGAUGUGUUGGCUCAUUUUUGAAUGACUAACUUGUACGUAUUCACCACCACAGGACGCAAACACACAGGCCGAUAAUAUCAACAGAUUUCUCAGAAUCUCACAUGGACACGCGUCCUCCACUCUUGCCUGUGUUAGAACGAGUAGAACUUACAUGGCCAGCGCAGACAGGAAAUGGUUCUGGGUUCCGAAGUUAUAUCAGACCCACAUACAGCUCGUAGUUAUAGAACAUUUGCUGAAAGGACAAAUGCCUUUUAUUUUCCCAUAAUGACUGUCGCUCCAUGGGUACACUUUACAUUGGAAUUUUCAGAAGAGUAAAAGUAUUUCUCCUGUUCAAACAUGCAGGCCUUGAUAACAUCCACUGAGCU